This is a long non-coding RNA of Salvelinus namaycush (lake trout), 2231 nucleotides long. RefSeq lists it as uncharacterized. The transcript has 3 exons. Lineage: Eukaryota; Metazoa; Chordata; Actinopteri; Salmoniformes; Salmonidae. The record is from RefSeq and is a predicted model, not a curated record.
GUCUUAGGCAUGACAAUGACCAUAGGAGUUGGCUAUACACCGUAAUUUAGAUCUGGGACCAGGCUAAGCUUUGGCGUGUUGGCUGUCACAUCACCUCCAGUGACUUGCAUGCCUAGAGAGGAACCGUGCAAGAAGCCUGAUAAUCGCACUGACAUGAUAAGAUAAAAACCUUGACUCAGAAGUUUGCGGACCGUGCACGUCGAGUGUGAAGUAUCGAAGCAGUUAGGCGGUUUAAACACAAACCAGGGCCUCUGGAUAAUGUAGAGCAAUGCUACACAUUGCUGCACACUUUUGCAUUGGUAUCUACACUGCACGUAAUAUGAACAGUUACCAUUCCUUGGAAGCCCAAUACCUUAUUUGAAAGUGGAUGGGUUCAAGUGAUUUAUCAUCACAAACCUGGGGCGUCCGACCCCACCAUCAUGAAGGCUCAAGUCAAACCAUUGUGGAGGGUGACGGAGGAAUCACAUCAGACAUGGGUGGCUGUACACAGAGUCCUGGAGGUCAAGUGUCCUUUCAAUUGGGCACAAGACAACAGCACUCUGGACGACUGGCUACAGAACAAGAGAGGGCAUCUGGCAAGUGCAACUUCUUUGAGGAAGAACCACUUCUCCAACACUCAGGUGCAGAUGUUUGUAAAACAAGAACUGAUUUCAUCACGUGGACCCCCAAACAAUGUAUAAUUGUCCGUGUCACGUGAGAUGAUGACUUCCUCACCAAGGCUCUGGACACAAUAAACCGAUUCUGGGCCAAGUAUAUCUACAACAAAAUGGUUGGCACAGCCCAUAGACAAGGUACAAACUCUAGGUUGUGAUAUAGGUCUACUGUAUAUUCAUUUCAUAUCCUGUAACUGAUAUAAUAAGAGAUUGGGAAUAAGUUAAGAAAACCAAGACUAUGGGCUGAAUUCAAUCCGUGUCGAGGAAGAUCCACCUUUUAUUAGCUCGUCUGAAAUUUAAAGGCCAUGUUCCCGUGUUCGCGGAGACUGCAUUCGCGUUAAACGCUGCAUAUGUCGGCUCAAUCGGAAAUGACCUUUGCAUUUUAAUACGGAUCUUCCGCGAUACGGAUUGAAUACAGCCUUAUAUCUGGUUCCACGCUGGCUGUAAAAAACAACAACCAAAAACAAUUGACGGUGAUGCGUUUCCUUCUUAGGAGACAGACUCCAGUCUACAGACAGUCCAGGGUGGAAUACAGUGCAGAGAGGAAGAAUGAGACACUGGUACAUGAAGAAAAGUUAGGAAUACAGUAGUUCAGUCGAAGGACUCAACCCUGAAUAAUGUAAUCGGUCUGGUGAAAAUAAAUUAUAAAUUAACUGUAUUUAGAUUGGCACUUCAGGACCCUUUUUAGGCAUCACUUUGGCUGUCACAUUCAUUUGUAUUCUUGUAAACAACACUAUCAGACAUGUUCACCAUAGCAGCACAUACGUGUAGUAUGUUGUCAACCAUCGUCUCUUCUCGCUUGUCAACUUCAUCCCUAAGGGUUCUUCAAGAAGCAAAGUGGAUGUGACCCAUGGAGUAUAUGGAAUCUUCCCUUCAGGACACCGAUCACCCUCUCUAUAGAAUAGCAAUCACCUCUAAUCGCCAUGUACAUACAUUUGACCUGGUGAAAUGGUGCUACAGUGUAUACAACACAGACUAAAUAUACAGACAGAAUAUGGACAGAACAAUUUACCCAUAGUCUAGUUGUAGUACAUACACAUAAUACGCAAUAGUAAGUCAUUUAAGUUAAAAAGUAUACAAAAUAAAGUGUGUGGGUGUAAAUAGCUAAUGCAGUUGAUGAGGAGUUGUCAGAGAUAUACACUGACUGACUGUACUUUUGGGCAUGUUCUCGUUAUUUGACAGACAGCUUCAAAAGUACCGCUGAAAGAAGCCAACUUUGAAUGACGGUCUAUGGGACGAACCGGAACGUGUCCCCUGAACGAGGGGCAUGGCUUUGCGUGUUGUAAUUUAUGACGUGAAGCGGACGCUGGGUAUGCCUGGUCCUGGCCUUGUAUUCAAUGAAGUGCAAGCCUAUGACUAUCAGUAUUUCAGCAUCAGCAUCAGCAUCAGUUUCAUUUCAAUCUUUGUUUAACAACACUUUGCAUCCAUGUGGUUACCCAUAAUUAACCUCUAAUAUUGACAUUAGGUGUUUAUGUGUGUGUAAAGUAAGCUUUCUGAUCCUGUGUUUUAGUGCAUGUGAAUCCGAUAGCCCUGAUCAUUGAACAGUUUUAGUGAAUGCACAAUUACUAUCCGAUAGAA